CCUACGGGAGGCAGCAGUGAGGAAUAUUGGUCAAUGGCCGGAAGGCUGAACCAGCCAUGCCGCGUGAAGGUCAGUGCCCUAUGGGCGUUAAACUUCUUUUGUGCGGGAGCAAUAAUGGUCACGUGUGGCCAGACGAGAGUACCGUACGAAUAAGCAUCGGCUAACUCCGUGCCAGCAGCCGCGGUAAUACGGGGGAGGCAAGCGUUAUCCGGAUUUAUUGGGUUUAAAGGGUGCGUAGGCUGUGAGGUAAGUCAGCGGUGAAAUGCCCCCGCUCAACGGGGUGAAGUGCCAUUGAUACUGCCUGGCUGGAAUGCGGAUGCCGUGGGAGGAAUGUGUGGUGUAGCGGUGAAAUGCAUAGAUAUCACACAGAACACCGAUUGCGAAGGCAUCUCACGAAUCCGCGAUUGACGCUGAUGCACGAAAGCGUGGGUAUCAAACAGGAUUAGAUACCCGUGUAGUC
This 460-nucleotide ribosomal RNA is filed under the name uncultured bacterium. RNAcentral's name for it is "partial 16S ribosomal RNA". It matches the Rfam family "Bacterial small subunit ribosomal RNA", at positions 338 to 795 of the family's 1533-position model. The record is from RNAcentral.